AAAGAUUUAGUUUAACUUAAAACAUUAACUUGUCAAGUUAAAGUUACUUACAUGAAGUAAUCUUUA
Molecule: transfer RNA, 66 nt
Filed under: Metidiocerus sp. ZB-2019
Lineage: Eukaryota; Metazoa; Arthropoda; Insecta; Hemiptera; Cicadellidae
Description: tRNA-Asp
Rfam family: tRNA
About the family: Transfer RNA (tRNA) molecules are approximately 80 nucleotides in length. Their secondary structure includes four short double-helical elements and three loops (D, anti-codon, and T loops).
Source: RNAcentral